GAAGUUGUACCCGUCAGCACCUGCUGAGGGCUUUGUUGUCCAAACCCUGACAGGUAAAAAAAUUCCUGUAGAAUAAAGCCAGACCAGCUGGCUUUGAAGAGAAACCCCCCAGUUUGGGCUGCGUUUGCCUCCUCUCCUUUUCUAUGAAGACCGAGGCUUUGCCCCCUUGAUCGUCAAGCCGUGAGAUGCGUGAUCUCUCUGCACAAGUGUCUGGCAGGCCGAGGGCACCAUUUUCAGAUAAAAACAUAGACCUGAAUGGCAUCAUCCAGUAUCCAAGGAAACCAUGCUUGCUUGAAGAGUGAGCAGGUGAGCAAAGAGACAAGAUUACAUGUUUAAACCAAGAAAAGAAUCUUGAAA
Molecule: long non-coding RNA, 357 nt
Filed under: Homo sapiens (human)
Lineage: Eukaryota; Metazoa; Chordata; Mammalia; Primates; Hominidae
Description: non-protein coding lnc-SBDS-2:1
Source: RNAcentral